GGCUGCAGUGGGGAAUCUUAGACAAUGGGGGAAACCCUGAUCUAGCCAUGCCGCGUGAGCGAUGAAGGCCUUAGGGUUGUAAAGCUCUUUCAGUGGGGAAGAUAAUGACGGUACCCACAGAAGAAGCCCCGGCUAACUCCGUGCCAGCAGCCGCGGUAAUACGGAGGGGGCUAGCGUUGUUCGGAAUUACUGGGCGUAAAGCGCACGUAGGCGGACCGGAAAGUCAGAGGUGAAAUCCCAGGGCUCAACCUUGGAACUGCCUUUGAAACUCCUGGUCUUGAGGUCGAGAGAGGUGAGUGGAAUUCCGAGUGUAGAGGUGAAAUUCGUAGAUAUUCGGAGGAACACCAGUGGCGAAAGCGGCCUCCUGGGCUGUACCUGACGCUCAGACGCGAAAGCUAGGGGAGCGAACGGGAUUAGAAACCCCGGUAGUCCUAGCCGUAAACGAUGUCGACUUGGCGUCGGUGGGGUAAAAGCCAUCGGUGCCGGAGCAAACGCGGUAAGUCGACCGCCUGGGGACUACGGCCGCAAGGUUA
This 533-nucleotide ribosomal RNA is filed under the name uncultured Pseudomonadota bacterium. Its description in RNAcentral is "bacterial SSU rRNA". It matches the Rfam family "Bacterial small subunit ribosomal RNA", at positions 347 to 896 of the family's 1533-position model. Lineage: Bacteria; Pseudomonadati; Pseudomonadota. The record is from RNAcentral.